AGUGAACGCUGGCGGUAGGCCUAACACAUGCAAGUCGAACGGCAGCACAGUAAGAGCUUGCUCUUACGGGUGGCGAGUGGCGGACGGGUGAGGAAUACAUCGGAAUCUACUUUUUCGUGGGGGAUAACGUAGGGAAACUUACGCUAAUACCGCAUACGACCUACGGGUGAAAGCAGGGGAUCUUCGGACCUUGCGCGAUUGAAUGAGCCGAUGUCGGAUUAGCUAGUUGGCGGGGUAAGGGCCACCAAGGCGACGAUCCGUAGCUGGUCUGAGAGGAUGAUCAGCCACACUGGAACUGAGACACGGUCCAGACUCCUACGGGAGGCAGCAGUGGGGAAUAUUGGACAAUGGGCGCAAGCCUGAUCCAGCCAUACCGCGUGGGUGAAGAAGGCCUUCGGGUUGUAAAGCCCUUUUGUUGGGAAAGAAAAGCAGCAGGUUAAUACCCCGCUGUUCUGACGGUACCCAAAGAAUAAGCACCGGCUAACUUCGUG
RNAcentral lists this ribosomal RNA (491 nucleotides) under uncultured bacterium. Its description in RNAcentral is "partial 16S ribosomal RNA". It matches the Rfam family "Bacterial small subunit ribosomal RNA", at positions 29 to 507 of the family's 1533-position model. The record is from RNAcentral.